GACGAACGCUGGCGGCGUGCUUAACACAUGCAAGUCGAACGGAAAGGCCCUGCUUGCAGGGUACUCGAGUGGCGAACGGGUGAGUAACACGUGGGUGAUCUGCCCUGCACUUCGGGAUAAGCCUGGGAAACUGGGUCUAAUACCGGAUAGGAGCCAUUUUUAGUGUGAUGGUUGGAAAGUUUUUUCGGUGUAGGAUGAGCUCGCGGCCUAUCAGCUUGUUGGUGGGGUAAUGGCCUACCAAGGCGGCGACGGGUAGCCGGCCUGAGAGGGUGGACGGCCACAUUGGGACGUGGGUAGGGCCCAGAUCCCGAAGGGGGGCAGGGGGGGGGAAGAUUGCAAAAGGGGGGAAAGCCUGAUGCAGCGAGCCCGGGGGGGGGAUGACGGCCUUGGGGUUGGAAACUCCUUUGGCUAGGGACGAAGUUUUUUGGGCGGUACCUAGAUAAGAAACACCGGCUAACUACGU
Molecule: ribosomal RNA, 463 nt
Filed under: uncultured bacterium
Lineage: Bacteria
Description: partial 16S ribosomal RNA
Rfam family: Bacterial small subunit ribosomal RNA
Source: RNAcentral